Homo sapiens (human) is the source of this 1022-nucleotide long non-coding RNA. Ensembl annotates it as long intergenic non-protein coding RNA 954. Lineage: Eukaryota; Metazoa; Chordata; Mammalia; Primates; Hominidae. The record is from Ensembl.
AGACUAAGCAGUGUUGCUAGAAACAAAUCAUUGCAUAACUAAAUCAUGAUCCACCAUGCACAUAGCCCACCAACCAAUGGAGAAGACCAGCAGAACAGAUAGUAGGCUAUCUCUUCCAGCCUCAAGCCCCAAUGCUGUCAUUCCUAAGUUGAGACGUUGAAGUCUCUUUGCCUCCCUGGUACAGAGUCUGUUUGCCUUGUCUUGUCCAUGAACCAGAGUUCCUUCAAGUCCUUUCUUGCUCUGCAGUUCUACAAACCAGUGAGCCUGCUCUUGCCUCCAUGCUUGUCCUAGGCUGAUGCUGCUCUGCUACUACUCAGUUAAAGAAACAUUGGCCCAAGAGGACAGGCACAAGGACAGGUGGAAGAAGAAAGCUGUCCUGCCACCAGGAGAUGGCAUGGUGGUAUGGCAGUCCCAGGGCCUCAGAGAGAGCAGACAGACACUGGAGAUCCAGGCAAGAGUAGCUCAAGAUGAGUCGUUCAUUGAGUUUCACCAUGGGGAGAUGGCCAUUGUGAAUCAGCCAUAGUCAACACUCUUUGAGGUAGAACUGAUGAGCUUUGCAGAUGCCUCAGCAGAAUUACUCCUGGACAAGUGUUGGGUGUCAGAGUCACCAGAAUUUGAUGGCAGCCCCCAGUGGAACAUAAUAAAUAGGUACAUAUCCUCAGCUAGCAGCUGAGAGGGCAGAACCAGAACCCCAGUCCUACCAGAUAUAGCCCAAGAUUCUGUAAGAAUAUCUUACAUGCUAAAGCAAGAUCCCCAAAGUGAGGACCUGAUAUGGUUAGGCUGUGUCCCCACCCAAAAUCUCAUCUUGAAUUAUCCCCACAAUCCCCACUUGUCAAGGGCAGGACCAAGGGUGGAGGUAUGGGGGCAGUUUCCCCGGAGCUGUUCUCAUGAUAGUGACUCUCACGAGAUCUGAUGGUUUUAUAAGUGUCUGACAUGUCCCCUGCUUGCACUCACUCCAUCCUGCCACCCUGUGAAGGAGGUGCCUGCUUCUCCUUUGCCUUCUGCCAUGAUUGUAAGUUCCC